GCCACACAACAAGCCGCUAAACGCAUCUGAGCCCCCAUUCAUCACGUUCACCUCACCUGCCCGGACUGCGCCCCCGCCUCCCUCCCCACCGCCGUGCUCCCUUUGCCUUCGGGUCGCUCCCCUCUGUGGUUGUACGACGCCCGCCGCCCGCGCAACCUCCCUUCACCCCGCUCGACGUCGUCCUGCCCGUCCGCCUCUCCUAUGGCGCACGGCACCUGCCGCCUGACCCGCCCUUCCACCAUCUCCUGUGUCGCCGGCAGAACCUCACUUCGCGCUGCUCGCCAUCGGAUUGGCCCGCCCGUGCGCCUCUCCUACGACGCCGGCCUCCAGCUCCGCCCUCCUCCAUCUCCUAUGGUGCACGACGCCCGCCGCCGGCCCCACCCUUUGGCAUCUCCUAUGGCGCGCGGCGUCCGUCCGUCGGCCUCUCUUGUGGCUAACGGCUGUUGCUGCUCGAUGUCUCGAACAACGCUACAGAGUGGCCCUGCCACGGCUUCAUCAUAUACCUCAUCGGUCUUUGCAUUUUCAAUGAUCCAUCCCUUGAGCCAUAUGAUCUGUCAGAUGAUGACACUAAUUUACAGAAGAAUUUCACACAUCUAAGUGAUCUUGCAGCUGCACUGCGAAAACAUGACCAUCGUGAUGGUGUUGAAAGCGCUCUUAGUUCUGCUGAAAAGCUUGUGAGAGCAUCACCUGAUGAGCUGUGCCACUGCUCGGGUGAUCUUGUUCAAGCACGUGUACAUGUUCCUUGUUUUCGUGUCAAGGUGGAAGGCGAGGAAGAUUCUCCUGAAGAAAACCGACAGAAGGCAUUAGUCGCCUUGCUGAUGAAUAACCAACCAGGCACAGAUCCAUUUCAGUCUUGAGCAUGCCCCAUUUACGGACCUAACGAGCACUGGUAAUAAUCAACAUCGUCCCGGGAAAAACGAAAUCUGACAUUUUAUUCUGAAUUUAUCUAACAGUAUGGGAAUACGGUAAAUGAUAACAGUCAGAAAUCUGACAUUAUGAAAAAAACUAGACCAUUAGGGAGAAAAGCCCCUGCUGUUUUCUAAUAAAGAAGGAGAUGUCAGACCCGUGUAAGAACCGAGGUGAGGAACCCGCGCCGUCUAGGAGGCAGCACUGCACUCUGACCAUUGAGCUGAGAGCUCAUCUACCGAAAAAUCUGACAUUAAACCGGUAGGUCCCGACCUCAAUUGCCGGGUGUGCUCUAUUAAAGCUUGGGAUUUACCCUGCUAAUGUGCCAACUUUGGUUUUAGUUCAGGAAGAAGAAGGUUGUGCACAAGAUGGCGUUGAGUGUAACUGGCUUGAGGCUUUUCUGAAUUCCUUGGUUCUUUCUACCAAAAGUACUUGUAUUAGGACGUUUUCUACACAUUUGGGAUAGAUUAUCAAGAAAAUUUGUCUAAAGUUUGAUCAAAUUCAUUUAGAUUCAGUUUAAUUAUAGGGCUGUUCAUUUUUUACAUUGAUUUUAUCAUGUUAUAAACCUGUCAUACCAUAUAGUUCUUGAAACUGCAUAUGUUUUCCUACUGCAGGUGCCACUUGUUGUCACUAUUGCAAAGAGACGGUGCAUGUAUGCAUAUUUUAACUCUCAUGAGUACUUGUAGAAGGAGAAUUGUACAAUGCUGAAAGAUGUUAUUUGCAUAUGCAAAGUGGGAUCAUAUCUUUUGAAUGAUUCCGUUAGAAUCAGGUCACUCCUUGACUAACUCGAACUUGAAUCAUUUGCUUUUUUUUAUCAUGGUUGGAGAUGUGGUGUAGCAUGAGCAGAAGCUAAUGGACGUGUCAGCAAGCCUCGAGGGAGAUGCCCCCUGCAACAUGAAGAACACCAUCUGGACAAAGGGAGGUACACAGAUGGCCAAGGACGAAAGGAGGCGUGCAGGUCUGCGUUUCACAGUUAUCUCUUUCAGCACCAGCGAUUAAAUGGUAUGUAGCCGGUCAGGCGUGCUUGCCUGAAAUGUGCUUUGUUAGUUCUAGAGCCAUGCUAGCUUUGUAUGUUGUUCUUGCAGCCUCAACGAGCUAAUUCUAUUUAAAGCUAAUGUUGUUCAAUCCUUCUAAUUUUGACUAUGUGUUCUAUCCUUUUAAUUACUGUUAUUCAGAUUUUUUUUUUCAUUUUUCUGUUGCCAUUCAGAUACAAAUGUUAUGAGAUUUCAGGAAUUUUGUCAUAUCUCCCAAUCGCCUUAAUUUUUUGUAGUGAUGGAGACUUGCCUGAAUGUUGCUUUCCUGGGCGUGAAGUGCCUUGAAUUAUCAUAAAUUCUGUAUAAAUGUACGUACCUGUCUGCACCUGAUGGUGAUCUGCCAAAGUUUUGUACUU
Long non-coding RNA from Triticum aestivum (bread wheat), 2296 nucleotides. RefSeq lists it as uncharacterized. NCBI's taxonomy places the organism in Eukaryota, Viridiplantae, Streptophyta, Magnoliopsida, Poales, Poaceae. The transcript is spliced from 5 exons. The record is from RefSeq and is a predicted model, not a curated record.